Molecule: ribosomal RNA, 500 nt
Filed under: uncultured bacterium
Lineage: Bacteria
Description: partial 16S ribosomal RNA
Rfam family: Bacterial small subunit ribosomal RNA
Source: RNAcentral
GACGAACGCUGGCGGCGUGCUUAACACAUGCAAGUCGAACGGGUCUGCCCUGUUUUUUGCGGGGUGGGUCAGUGGCGAACGGGUGAGUAACACGUGAGUAACCUGCCCCUCACUUCUGGAUAACCGCUUGAAAGGGUGGCUAAUACGGGGUGUUCUGGCUGUGCCGCAUGGUGUGGCUGGGAAAGAUUCACUUUUGUGGUGUUUUGGUGGGGGAUGGGCUCGCGGCCUAUCAGCUUGUUGGUGGGGUGAUGGCCUGCCAAGGCUUUGACGAGUAGCCGGCCUGGGAGGGUGGGCGGUCACACUGGGGCUGAGAUACGGCCCAGACUCCUGCGGGAGGCAGCAGGGGGGGGUAUUGCACAAUGGGCGGAAGCCUGAUGCAGCGGCGUCGCGUGAGGGAUGGAGGCCUUCGGGUUGUGAACCUCUUUCGCCGGUGAAGAAGGUCCUGCUCUUUGUGGUGGGGUUGACGGUAGCCGGGUUAUGAAGCGCCGGCUAACUACGUG